ACGAACGCUGGCGGCGUGCUUAACACAUGCAAGUCGAACGGUAAGGCCCCUUCGGGGGUCCACGAGUGGCGAACGGGUGAGUAACACGUGAGCAACCUGCCCUUGACUCUGGAAUAACAGUUGGAAACAGCUGCUAAUACUGGAUAUUCAUCGUCUCCUUCCUGGGGGGUGGUGGAAAGCUCCGGCGGUCAGGGAUGGGCUCGCGGCCUAUCAGCUUGUUGGUGAGGUAAUGGCUCACCAAGGCUUCGACGGGUAGCCGGCCUGAGAGGGCGACCGGCCACACUGGGACUGAGAUACGGCCCAGACUCCUACGGGAGGCAGCAGUGGGGAAUAUUGCACAAUGGGCGCAAGCCUGAUGCAGCAACGCCGCGUGCGGGAUGACGGCCUUCGGGUUGUAAACCGCUUUCAGUAGGGACGAAGGGUGACUGACGGUACCUACAGAAGAAGGACCGGCUAACUACGUG
This 464-nucleotide ribosomal RNA is filed under the name uncultured bacterium. Its description in RNAcentral is "partial 16S ribosomal RNA". It matches the Rfam family "Bacterial small subunit ribosomal RNA", at positions 29 to 507 of the family's 1533-position model. The record is from RNAcentral.